This is a non-coding RNA of Vicugna pacos (alpaca), 154 nucleotides long. The record is from RefSeq and is a predicted model, not a curated record. NCBI's taxonomy places the organism in Eukaryota, Metazoa, Chordata, Mammalia, Artiodactyla, Camelidae.
UGCGCUUCCGAUCUGGCAUGUCAAGCAGGUACUGUGUGAAUAAUUAACCAGGAGAGCAUAUAUGUUGGAAAUUUUUAGGAGAGAGGCAAAAGAAUGUGGCACUUCUGCAGAUCAAGGAGAUGACAGGCAUGGGUGGUUUCUGGGAAAACAGAUG